CAAGCAUGCUGACUAUAAAAGGGCGUGCCGUGGGCAGCUCCGACCGGAAGCAACCAAAAAAUGACAAAAUGGCAACAAUGAAUAUUCUUGAGUCUUGCAAAAAGACGCCCUUGACAGUUAUAAUGCACAUUCUUUACAUUUUUACAUUCUUCUUUUGAUACGCCUUCUUCCGCUCUCUCACGAGAUAGUAGACACAAACUAAACAAAAAAUGGCUGUCAAAAGUUUAUUUCAAGACGUCUGUUCUCAACCUCAAAAGAAGCCAACUGGGGGUUCCACAGGAGCUAAAGUUCGAGACUGAAGAUACCAAGCAAGUCUUUGUAGGUAUAAUUGACAGUGCUAAUCGUUAUCUUGCUGCCAGAGAUGCAUUGGCCCAACAUAAGGAUAUGACAAACUGAUGCUGUUGUUGAAGAUGUGGACAUAAUAACUCAAUAACGAAGAGGAGAGUUGAAAGUCUGUAGGGAAGGAGCUUUGUAUAAAGUAACAAAGAGGAGAGUUGAAAGUCUGUAGGGAAGGAGCUUUGUAUAAUAUCUAUGUGCAGUUUGUUUGUUUAUAUAUACAGUCAUUAUGCCUCAGUUGGGCAUGUGCAAGGUAUACGAUAGUGUGUCUGUGUGUGUGUAGAUAGACUGUUACAGCUGCUCGAUGAUAAAUGAAGCUCGAAGAGUUUCUGUGUAAUUAUUGUAGGCUGCUAAUCAUAAUUAUUUCUUGAAUUGCAAUUAGUUGGGUUUGCAAAAUAAUGCCUAUUGUUAUGUUUGCUUACUUUGAAAGCUAGUACAACUUGUGUGUAGCAAAAUAGGGGAAUAACGAGAGAAUAAAGUAAAAUAAAAAGAAUUAAGCAUUAUCCACCAGGGCCGAUGAAUCCAUCUAAAAUGUUGUAAAUUAUAUGUACAGUGUGUUCAUUAAUAAUGGUACUGCAUGUAGCUUCAUUGCCUACACUGAGGCAUCAUCACCCUUUCAGUAACAUUCAUUUUUUUCCUCAGGUCGCGUUGAAGGACGCUUUGAAGGGCUGCGACUGCCUUUGCUUGUUGACAGUCUCCCUGGGUACACCAUCAACCUAUGUAGAAAAUCUCUUUGCUGGAGGCAGGAGAGCCUCACUGUCUGGUGGCAUGCACUCCACUUGCCCUAUUAAAAUGAAUCGAAUUUUCAGUGAAUUUCCACAAUGGCACAGUUUCACAGUUUCAAUGCCGUCUAUUAUGCAAGAAAGCAAGCUUCCUAACUCUUCCACAACGUUCCCUGGAGUAUGCUCACUGUAGCUGACUUGGAGCUGAAAAGAUUCCUUUAUUGUGCAUUGCCUUUUGCUGUAUCUAUACAUAAAGUAUUUGUCAGCCAUUUAUUUUAUUUUUUUGUUCUGCUUCUGGUAAAAAAGAAAAACUACCAAGAAUGUAUUUCCAUUCCCCCUUUGUGUAUAUUUUUUAGUGUUUACAGUG
This is a long non-coding RNA of Halichondria panicea, 1425 nucleotides long. RefSeq lists it as uncharacterized. NCBI's taxonomy places the organism in Eukaryota, Metazoa, Porifera, Demospongiae, Suberitida, Halichondriidae. The transcript has 4 exons. The record is from RefSeq and is a predicted model, not a curated record.